This 497-nucleotide long non-coding RNA is filed under the name Ananas comosus (pineapple). Its description in RNAcentral is "long non-coding RNA (ACOM_LNC013205)". The record is from RNAcentral. Lineage: Eukaryota; Viridiplantae; Streptophyta; Magnoliopsida; Poales; Bromeliaceae.
UUUAAUUAUAAUUUUAUUUUAUUUUAUUUUAUUUUAUUUAUUUGUGUGUAUUUAUUUGAUAAUAUCUUAUUCUGUAUAAAAUUAUUCUGUAUAAUUUAGAAGAUAGUCCCAUGUUUGUGUUGGAAAAAUCUUUCUAAUCUUUUAUUAUAAUAUUUUAAAAAUAAAUCUGAAGUUUAAUUUCAAAUUUAGAAAAAUUUCAAGAAAGAAAAUAAAUAAUAAAUACUGUAAAAAAAAGGUUUAGAUAAGGCCUGUGGAUCGAGACGUGCAGAGUACUGUUCUAAAAGCGAAAUUGCCCCUCUACGUGCGAGGCUUCUUGAUAAUUACUUACAGCGAUACAACGACCACGUUCCACCCCGUCGGCACGAUUUCAAGGUAGCGCAAAACAAACCCAACAAGUUUCAGAUGUAGAAAAGAAAACUCCGCGAAAAUCGACGGAAAAGAUUAAUAGUGAGAAAGUAGUGAAAGACGAGAUAGAGUUUAGGUAUGCUUAGAUUUUU